AUGAAACAGGUUUGUUUUUUAGACUUCAACCGGAUCAUUCCCUUGCAACAAUGCAACUUGAAGGGAAAAAACAAGACAAGGAAAGACUAACUGUUGCUAUUUGCUGUAAUGAGGAUGGUUCGGAAAAACUUCCUUUAUGGAUUAUUGGGAAAUAUGCUAAACCAAGGUGCUUCAAGAAUGUAAACUUGAACAGUCUGAACUGUGAGUACCGUGCUAACAAACGAGCUUGGAUGACUGGUGUGUUAUUUGAAGAAUAUGUUCGCCAACUUGAUAAAAAAAUGGUUGGAAGAAAAAUUCUCUUGAUUGUGGAUAAUUGCCCUGCUCAUCCAAAAAUUAUUGAAG
This 342-nucleotide long non-coding RNA is filed under the name Helianthus annuus (common sunflower). RNAcentral's name for it is "hypothetical non coding rna". Lineage: Eukaryota; Viridiplantae; Streptophyta; Magnoliopsida; Asterales; Asteraceae. The record is from RNAcentral.